CCCCGAGCAAUCUGCUCUCUCAGAGCCUGAUUCUCCGCCAGUAGCUGUUCCAUUAAUGCAUCUCUACUUCCUACCUCUCCUUGAUCAUCAACCCUCCGUCUAUCAGCAGGAGGAGAUUUUUCUCUUUGGGGCUCGACAUGUGCAGAACCCGCAUCCAAUGCUAUAUCUGGCUCCAUUCUCCUUGGAAGUAUUCUUUAUAUAUCUACAUACUGAGUCAUAAUAUAUUUUACUGAAUUAUAAAUGACUCACAAAUUAAUAUACAGAAAAAUCCUAUGCUCCAUAGUAUAAUCCUAUACUUAAUCCUGACUCACCCUAUUGCUCUGACAGGACUCUUGUUUAAC
This 341-nucleotide long non-coding RNA is filed under the name Phoenix dactylifera (date palm). RNAcentral's name for it is "long non-coding RNA (PDAC_LNC022063)". The record is from RNAcentral. Lineage: Eukaryota; Viridiplantae; Streptophyta; Magnoliopsida; Arecales; Arecaceae.